AGGAGGAACAACCCCAGUGGCUGCUGCAGCUCUGGAGCCCUGGAUUCAGCCCCCGCAGUAACUCCAGAGCUCUCUGUCUGCAGGGCCUGGAGGCUCCGGGGCGGG
Non-coding RNA from Canis lupus familiaris (dog), 105 nucleotides. NCBI's taxonomy places the organism in Eukaryota, Metazoa, Chordata, Mammalia, Carnivora, Canidae. The record is from Rfam.